AGCGACGAUCAGUAGCCGACCUGAGAGGGUGACCGGCCACAUUGGGACUGAGACACGGCCCAAACUCCUACGGGAGGCAGCAGUGGGGAAUAUUGCACAAUGGGCGAAAGCCUGAUGCAGCGACGCCGCGUGAGUGAAGAAGUAUCUCGGUAUGUAAAGCUCUAUCAGCAGGGAAGAAAAUGACGGUACCUGACUAAGAAGCCCCGGCUAACUACGUGCCAGCAGCCGCGGUAAUACGUAGGGGGCAAGCGUUAUCCGGAUUUACUGGGUGUAAAGGGAGCGUAGACGGCGACGCAAGUCUGGAGUGAAAGCCCGGGGCCCAACCCCGGGACUGCUUUGGAAACUGUGCUGCUGGAGUGCAGGAGAGGUAAGUGGAAUUCCUAGUGUAGCGGUGAAAUGCGUAGAUAUUAGGAGGAACACCAGUGGCGAAGGCGGCUUACUGGACUGUAACUGACGUUGAGGCUCGAAAGCGUGGGGAGCAAACAGGAUUAGAUACCCUGGUAGUCCACGCCG
RNAcentral lists this ribosomal RNA (513 nucleotides) under uncultured bacterium. Its description in RNAcentral is "bacterial SSU rRNA". It matches the Rfam family "Bacterial small subunit ribosomal RNA", at positions 272 to 802 of the family's 1533-position model. The record is from RNAcentral.